GAUAACGGCGUCGAGCGGCGGACGGGUGAGUAAUGCCUAGGAAAUUGCCCUGAUGUGGGGGAUAACCAUUGGAAACGAUGGCUAAUACCGCAUGAUGCCUACGGGCCAAAGAGGGGGACCUUCGGGCCUCUCGCGUCAGGAUAUGCCUAGGUGGGAUUAGCUAGUUGGUGAGGUAAGGGCUCACCAAGGCGACGAUCCCUAGCUGGUCUGAGAGGAUGAUCAGCCACACUGGAACUGAGACACGGUCCAGACUCCUACGGGAGGCAGCAGUGGGGAAUAUUGCACAAUGGGCGCAAGCCUGAUGCAGCCAUGCCGCGUGUGUGAAGAAGGCCUUCGGGUUGUAAAGCACUUUCAGUCGUGAGGAAGGUAGUGUAGUUAAUAGCUGCAUUAUUUGACGUUAGCGACAGAAGAAGCACCGGCUAACUCCGUGCCAGCAGCCGCGGUAAUACGGAGGGUGCGAGCGUUAAUCGGAAUUACUGGGCGUAAAGCGCAUGCAGGUGGUUUGUUAAGUCAGAUGUGAAAGCCCGGGGCUCAACCUCGGAAUUGCAUUUGAAACUGGCAGACUAGAGUACUGUAGAGGGGGGUAGAAUUUCAGGUGUAGCGGUGAAAUGCGUAGAGAUCUGAAGGAAUACCGGUGGCGAAGGCGGCCCCCUGGACAGAUACUGACACUCAGAUGCGAAAGCGUGGGGAGCAAACAGGAUUAGAUACCCUGGUAGUCCACGCCGUAAACGAUGUCUACUUGGAGGUUGUGGCCUUGAGCCGUGGCUUUCGGAGCUAACGCGUUAAGUAGACCGCCUGGGGAGUACGGUCGCAAGAUUAAAACUCAAAUGAAUUGACGGGGGCCCGCACAAGCGGUGGAGCAUGUGGUUUAAUUCGAUGCAACGCGAAGAACCUUACCUACUCUUGACAUCCAGAGAACUUUCCAGAGAUGGAUUGGUGCCUUCGGGAACUCUGAGACAGGUGCUGCAUGGCUGUCGUCAGCUCGUGUUGUGAAAUGUUGGGUUAAGUCCCGCAACGAGCGCAACCCUUAUCCUUGUUUGCCAGCGAGUAAUGUCGGGAACUCCAGGGAGACUGCCGGUGAUAAACCGGAGGAAGGUGGGGACGACGUCAAGUCAUCAUGGCCCUUACGAGUAGGGCUACACACGUGCUACAAUGGCGCAUACAGAGGGCAGCCAACUUGCGAAAGUGAGCGAAUCCCAAAAAGUGCGUCGUAGUCCGGAUUGGAGUCUGCAACUCGACUCCAUGAAGUCGGAAUCGCUAGUAAUCGUGAUCAGAAUGCCACGGUGAAUACGUUCCCGGGCCUGA
RNAcentral lists this ribosomal RNA (1305 nucleotides) under Vibrio sp. JF18. RNAcentral's name for it is "bacterial SSU rRNA". It matches the Rfam family "Bacterial small subunit ribosomal RNA", at positions 78 to 1383 of the family's 1533-position model. The record is from RNAcentral. Lineage: Bacteria; Pseudomonadati; Pseudomonadota; Gammaproteobacteria; Vibrionales; Vibrionaceae.